GACGGGGGGGGCAAGUGUUCUUCGGAAUGACUGGGCGUAAAGCGCACGUAGGCGGAUUGCUAAGUCAGGGGUGAAAUCCUGGAGCUCAACUCCAGAACUGCCUUUGAUACUGGCGAUCUUGAGUCCGGGAGAGGUGAGUGGAACUGCGAGUGUAGAGGUGAAAUUCGUAGAUAUUCGCAAGAACACCAGUGGCGAAGGCGGCUCACUGGCCCGGUACUGACGCUGAGGUGCGAAAGCGUGGGGAGCAAACAGG
RNAcentral lists this ribosomal RNA (253 nucleotides) under uncultured bacterium. RNAcentral's name for it is "partial 16S ribosomal RNA". It matches the Rfam family "Bacterial small subunit ribosomal RNA", at positions 524 to 776 of the family's 1533-position model. The record is from RNAcentral.